This 518-nucleotide ribosomal RNA is filed under the name uncultured Glomus. RNAcentral describes it as "SSU rRNA". It matches the Rfam family "Eukaryotic small subunit ribosomal RNA", at positions 569 to 1089 of the family's 1831-position model. The record is from RNAcentral. Lineage: Eukaryota; Fungi; Glomeromycota; Glomeromycetes; Glomerales; Glomeraceae.
AGCAGCCGCGGUAAUUCCAGCUCCAAUAGCGUAUAUUAAAGUUGUUGCAGUUAAAAAGCUCGUAGUUGAAUUUCGGGGUUAGUAGGUUGGUCAUGCCUCUGGUAUGUACUGGUCUCACUGAUUCCUCCUUCCUGACGAACCUUAAUGCCAUUAAUUUGGUGUUUUGGGGAAUUUGGACUGUUACUUUGAAAAAAUUAGAGUGUUUAAAGCAAGCUAACGCUUGAAUACAUUAGCAUGGAAUAAUGAAAUAGGACGUUCGAUCCUAUUUUGUUGGUUUCUAGGAUUGACGUAAUGAUUAAUAGGGAUAGUUGGGGGCAUUAGUAUUCAAUUGUCAGAGGUGAAAUUCUUGGAUUUAUUGAAGACUAACUACUGCGAAAGCAUUUGCCAAGGAUGUUUUCAUUAAUCAAGAACGAAAGUUAGGGGAUCGAAGACGAUCAGAUACCGUCGUAGUCUUAACCAUAAACUAUGCCGACUAGGGAUCGGAUGAUGUUAAUUUUUAAUGACUCAUUCGGCGCCUU